ACCUUGCAAGAAUUCACUGUUUUUCCUUCUUUGCAACCAUCUACAACAAGGGAUGGUGAACUUUCUAUAAAGGGAAAGACAGUAAAUAUUUUAGGCCUUGAUUUCAUGUGGUUACUAACCGAACUACUAUACUUUCUUUGAGUACUUCCAGUGUGUUUCCAAGAGCUUUAACAAUAAUAACACCUAACAUACAGAUGUUUGCCAGUUUGUCAUUUAGAAUGGUGAGAAAAUAUAUCUUGUUUUAUAUAUGAACAAAUUGAAGCUCAUAGACUUUCAGUGACCUGCCAGUGAUCAGAGGUUCAGCUAGUCAUGGAUCUACUGGUAACUUCCCAUUGACUCGGUAGCUUUGGUUCUGAAUGUAUUUCUGGGUAGAGCAAUAGAGGGGAUCCCUCUUGGUUCUGUCUUUGAAGAUUUGAUGCUGUGAAUUUGGACCUGGCCUGGCAGCAGAUCUUAAAGUGACCCCUGCUUUUGAAGUUAAGGAUCUCUAGCACUUCCUGGUGCUGCCCCAUUAAAUGCAAGAAUAUGGCAUCUAUUCAUUUUCCUUCUUUGCUCUUGGAUGGCACGUGACAAGGACUUCCUGGCAUCACAUCUAAUUAUACUAUUUUUAAAUUUUCCCUUCACGCCCCAUCACUGGCAAAUGUUUUUCAAAAAGAGCAGAUAGUGCAGAGUUCCCAUAAACCUCUGUACUACUUUCCACUCACCACCCUACCAGUUUCCCCUGUUAUUAACAUCUUGCCUCAGUGUGGUUCAUUUGCUACCUCUGGUGAACCUACACUGAUACAUUAUCAUUUACUGAAGCCCAUAGUUUAUACUAGGCUUCAGUCUUAGUGUUGUAUGUUCUAUGGAUUUUGACAAAUAAAUAAUAUUAUGUAUCCACAGUUACAAUAUCUUACAGAAUACUUUCACUACCCUAAACAUCCCUUGCGUCCCACCUAUUCAUCUCACUCUCCCUCCCCCUGAAAACCUCCCCUCCCCUGGC
This 979-nucleotide long non-coding RNA is filed under the name Pan troglodytes (chimpanzee). RNAcentral describes it as "long non-coding RNA NONPTRT002909". The record is from RNAcentral. Lineage: Eukaryota; Metazoa; Chordata; Mammalia; Primates; Hominidae.